Vicia faba (fava bean) is the source of this 348-nucleotide non-coding RNA. NCBI's taxonomy places the organism in Eukaryota, Viridiplantae, Streptophyta, Magnoliopsida, Fabales, Fabaceae. The record is from the annotation of a GenBank genome assembly.
CACGGGUUCAAAUUCAUUCAUGUGAUUUACUGGGAAUUCAAGAUACAAGUUCAAAUAUCAUUUCAUCAUCAUUUAACUUUAUCUCACAAAUCCGAGUUCAAGUUUAUAUUGUCCAAGGCAUAUUCAUCCAAAGCACCAUUCAAUUCCAAUUCAAAAUCAAGCUUUUCAUUUCAUCCAUGUUCAUUCGUUAUAACCAUUACUCACUUUACAAGAAUUGUGCCAAAUAAAGGAAAUUACAAAGAAAGUUAUAUGGAAGUCUAUCCUAAUCUUGGUCUUCAUUUUCAACCUUCUCCAAAUUUUCCUUCCAUCUUCAAGCUUUCAUACUCCAACCCUAGUAUCAUGCUAUGA